ACGAACGCUGGCGGCGUGCUUAACACAUGCAAGUCGAACGGGCCCGCUCUCUUUUUUGGGGGUGGGUUGAGUGGCGAACGGGUGAGUAUCACGUGAGUAACCUGCCCCCUGCUCCUGGAUAACUGCUUGAAAGGGCGGCUAAUACGGGGUGUGCCGGCUGGUCCGCCUGGGCCUGGUCGGGAUAGUUUCAUCUUCGGGUGUUUCGGUGGGGGAUGGGCUCGCGGCCUAUCAGCUUGUUGGUGGGGUGAUGGCCCACCAAGGCGGUGACGGGUAGCCGGCCUGAGAGGGUGGGCGGCCACACUGGGACUGAGACACGGCCCAGACUCCUGCGGGAGGCAGCAGUGGGGGGUAUUGCACAAUGGGCGGAAGCCUGAUGCAGCGACGUCGCGUGAGGGAUGGAGGCCUUCGGGUUGUGAACCUCUUUCUCCGGUGGUGAAGGCCCUGUCCGUUGCGGCGGGGUUGACGGUAGCCGGGUAUGAAGCGCCGGCUAACUACGUG
Molecule: ribosomal RNA, 498 nt
Filed under: uncultured bacterium
Lineage: Bacteria
Description: partial 16S ribosomal RNA
Rfam family: Bacterial small subunit ribosomal RNA
Source: RNAcentral